RNAcentral lists this long non-coding RNA (733 nucleotides) under Salmo salar (Atlantic salmon). RNAcentral's name for it is "lncRNA (ENSSSAG00000099037.1)". The record is from RNAcentral. Lineage: Eukaryota; Metazoa; Chordata; Actinopteri; Salmoniformes; Salmonidae.
GUUCGUUCAACAAAGCCUAUGAGGAAAUGAAUUGAGUUUUUAUAUGGUUUUUGGAUAAACACCGAAAAUAAGGUCUGUGGUAAACACAGGCUGAGGAGAUCUUAUACAGUUUUGUUCUAUGAGGUCAUCUUAAUCAGCUAACAUCACUUUUUGUGAAUUUUUAAGUAUUCAUGUAACUUCAAAAAACAUAACGCACAUAAAGGAUUUGGAAUUCAUAAAGUUCAUGAUAACUUACUGAUACCUCGUAGAACAAAACGUAUAAAAUCUCAUAAGCCUGUUUUAACCACAGACCUUAUUUUCGGCAUUUAUUCCAAAACCCUAUUCCUUCCCCAUUAAUUUUGCCCAUAGUAAUGGCUGAACGAACCAGAGUUACGUGGCAGGCUAUUCCUCGGAAGUCACUCAUGUCAGGCUUCUCCGAUGCACAACUGUGCUGCGCGGCUGUCAGCGUUGCGGUCUCAUUCAACACUGGAGACUUUGGCGCCAUCCCUGCGGACACCACUUCUGCCGUGAGUGCAUGGAUCAGAUCAUAGAUGAUGGUUUCCGCGACAUCGAGGGGCUUGGCUCAAGUCCCUGUCCACAGUGUAAAUCAGUUGUAGCCUAUUAAAUGUGUAACCGUGACUGUAUGUUAGUGCCUUUUUCUGAGUUUGUGUAACCUUUUCUUUUUCAUUGCACUUUGUAGUCCCUGCAUGUCCCUAUUGCCCAGGCAAUUCAACAGAACUAUGGUAUCAUCAAG